RNAcentral lists this ribosomal RNA (490 nucleotides) under uncultured bacterium. Its description in RNAcentral is "bacterial SSU rRNA". It matches the Rfam family "Bacterial small subunit ribosomal RNA", at positions 15 to 518 of the family's 1533-position model. The record is from RNAcentral.
GAUCCUGGCUUAGGACGAACGCUGGCGGCACGCUUAACACAUGCAAGUCGAACGGAGUUAUUGAAGCUUGCUUUGAAUAACUUAGUGGCGGACGGGUGAGUAACACGUGAGCAACCUGCCUUUGAGAGUGGAAUAGCUUCUGGAAACGGAUGGUAAUACCGCAUAACAUUACCGGACCGCAUGAUCUGGUAAUCAAAGAUUUAUCGCUCAAAGAUGGGCUCGCGUCUGAUUAGAUAGUUGGUGGGGUAACGGCCUACCAAGUCGACGAUCAGUAGCCGGACUGAGAGGUUGGACGGCCACAUUGGGACUGAGACACGGCCCAGACUCCUACGGGAGGCAGCAGUGGGGAAUAUUGCACAAUGGGCGGAAGCCUGAUGCCAGCGAUGCCGCGUGGAGGAAGAAGGUUUUCGGAUUGUAAACUCCUGAUCUGAGGGACGAUAAUGACGGUACCUCAGGAGAAAGCUCCGGCUAACUACGUGCCAGCCGCCGC